AAGGCUUUAGCUUACCUAAAGCACCUGUUUUGCACACAGAAGAUGUAGGAUCAAACCUGCAAGCCUUA
Molecule: transfer RNA, 68 nt
Filed under: Tetrabrachium ocellatum (four-armed frogfish)
Lineage: Eukaryota; Metazoa; Chordata; Actinopteri; Lophiiformes; Tetrabrachiidae
Description: tRNA-Ala
Rfam family: tRNA
About the family: Transfer RNA (tRNA) molecules are approximately 80 nucleotides in length.
Source: RNAcentral